This 278-nucleotide ribosomal RNA is filed under the name uncultured prokaryote. Its description in RNAcentral is "partial 16S ribosomal RNA". It matches the Rfam family "Bacterial small subunit ribosomal RNA", at positions 524 to 801 of the family's 1533-position model. The record is from RNAcentral.
UACGUAGGUGGCAAGCGUUAUCCGGAUUUACUGGGUUUAAAGGGCGUGUAGGCGGUUUUGUAAGUCAGAUGUGAAAUCUCCGGGCUUAACUCGGAAACUGCAUCUGAAACUAUAAAACUUGAGUACUGUAGAGGAUAGUGGAAUUCCUAGUGUAGUGGUAAAAUGCGUAGAGAUAUGGAGGAACACCAGUGGCGAAGGCGGCUUCCUGGUCUGUAACUGACACUGAGGCGCGAAAGCGUGGGGAGCAAACAGGAUUAGAUACCCCGGUAGUCCCUGAG